UACGUAGGGUGCAAGCGUUAAUCGGAAUUACUGGGCGUAAAGCGUGCGCAGGCGGUUUUGUAAGUCUGACGUGAAGUCCCCGGGCUCAACCUGGGAAUUGCGUUGGAGACUGCAAGGCUAGAAUCUGGCAGAGGGGGGUAGAAUUCCACGUGUAGCAGUGAAAUGCGUAGAGAUGUGGAGGAACACCGAUGGCGAAGGCAGCCCCCUGGGUCAAGAUUGACGCUCAUGCACGAAAGCGUGGGGAGCAAACAGG
RNAcentral lists this ribosomal RNA (253 nucleotides) under uncultured bacterium. Its description in RNAcentral is "partial 16S ribosomal RNA". It matches the Rfam family "Bacterial small subunit ribosomal RNA", at positions 524 to 776 of the family's 1533-position model. The record is from RNAcentral.